RNAcentral lists this ribosomal RNA (439 nucleotides) under Salmonella enterica. RNAcentral describes it as "partial 23S ribosomal RNA". It matches the Rfam family "Bacterial large subunit ribosomal RNA", at positions 81 to 559 of the family's 2925-position model. Lineage: Bacteria; Pseudomonadati; Pseudomonadota; Gammaproteobacteria; Enterobacterales; Enterobacteriaceae. The record is from RNAcentral. RNAcentral also lists the same sequence under 2 other names.
GUAAGGUGAUAUGAACCGUUAUAACCGGCGAUACCCGAAUGGGGAAACCCAGUGUGACUCGUCACACUAUCAUUAACUGAAUCCAUAGGUUAAUGAGGCGAACCGGGGGAACUGAAACAUCUAAGUACCCCGAGGAAAAGAAAUCAACCGAGAUUCCCCCAGUAGCGGCGAGCGAACGGGGAGGAGCCCAGAGCCUGAAUCAGCAUGUGUGUUAGUGGAAGCGUCUGGAAAGGCGCGCGAUACAGGGUGACAGCCCCGUACACAAAAGCGCAUGUGCUGUGAGCUCGAUGAGUAGGGCGGGACACGUGGUAUCCUGUCUGAAUAUGGGGGGACCAUCCUCCAAGGCUAAAUACUCCUGACUGACCGAUAGUGAACCAGUACCGUGAGGGAAAGGCGAAAAGAACCCCGGCGAGGGGAGUGAAAAAGAACCUGAAACCGU